This 373-nucleotide long non-coding RNA is filed under the name Mustela putorius furo (domestic ferret). RNAcentral's name for it is "lncRNA (ENSMPUG00000026441.1)". The record is from RNAcentral. Lineage: Eukaryota; Metazoa; Chordata; Mammalia; Carnivora; Mustelidae.
GUGGGUCUGAAGACUAAAACAAUCACCAUGUCAAGGAUUAUGGAACCCACAUCUGAAUGGGUGAAUACAUUCGAUCUUGAGCUUUCUGGAAAAAUGAAUAAAAGAAGUAUCAUCUUGAAACGUGUCUGAAAAUUUUAAAUUUCAAAAAUUAGAAAAGAAUUCUGAAAGUAUCCAGGCAAAGAAAAUAAAUUAUCCCCCAAGGAACUAAAAUCAGAUUGCAAAAUGCUUUCAUCUCCAGCGCCUCUUACAUCUUACAGUUGGCUGGGACACUUCUCAGUCUAUCAACUAACUGAAUUAUCUAUAAGUGGAUCCGAGAAAGUUGGGACUCCUGAAGAUCAGGAAUAAUCCCAUCCAUUUGGUCAGUAAUUUUUUU